Betta splendens (Siamese fighting fish) is the source of this 68-nucleotide small nucleolar RNA. Ensembl annotates it as small nucleolar RNA SNORD75. The record is from Ensembl. NCBI's taxonomy places the organism in Eukaryota, Metazoa, Chordata, Actinopteri, Anabantiformes, Osphronemidae.
AGUCAAUGAUGACUUAUCUGUAAGAGUAGUGGACAGAAGUGGUUUCUGACUAACAUCACACUGAGACU